RNAcentral lists this ribosomal RNA (516 nucleotides) under uncultured bacterium. Its description in RNAcentral is "bacterial SSU rRNA". It matches the Rfam family "Bacterial small subunit ribosomal RNA", at positions 224 to 737 of the family's 1533-position model. The record is from RNAcentral.
GAUGAGCAUGCGUCCCAUUAGCUAGAUGGUAAGGUAACGGCUUACCAUGGCAACGAUGGGUAGGGGUCCUGAGAGGGAGAUCCCCCACACUGGUACUGAGACACGGACCAGACUCCUACGGGAGGCAGCAGUGAGGAAUAUUGGUCAAUGGGCGCAAGCCUGAACCAGCCAUGCCGCGUGCAGGAUGACGGUCCUAUGGAUUGUAAACUGCUUUUGUACAGGAAGAAACAGUUCUACGUGUAGAACCUUGACGGUACUGUAAGAAUAAGGAUCGGCUAACUCCGUGCCAGCAGCCGCGGUAAUACGGAGGAUCCAAGCGUUAUCCGGAAUCAUUGGGUUUAAAGGGUCCGUAGGCGGUUUUGUGAGUCAGUGGUGAAAGCCCAUCGCUCAACGGUGGAACGGCCAUUGAUACUGCAAGACUUGAAUUAUUAGGAAGUAACUAGAAUAUGUAGUGUAGCGGUGAAAUGCUUAGAUAUUACAUGGAAUACCAAUUGCGAANGCAGGUUACUACUAAUG